RNAcentral lists this long non-coding RNA (609 nucleotides) under Triticum aestivum (bread wheat). Its description in RNAcentral is "long non-coding RNA (TAES_LNC008912)". Lineage: Eukaryota; Viridiplantae; Streptophyta; Magnoliopsida; Poales; Poaceae. The record is from RNAcentral.
ACCCAAAAUACCUAGGAUCCUUUAUUUCUUUCUCAAGAUGAAAGAAAACACAUGUACCACAUGUGUUCCAUUCAGUAGGAUACAACUAUAAAUUCUAUUUGUAUAUGCAUAUCAUGCAAAACUAAACAGGGAAACAACAAAAAUGUUUCAAGACACACAAGCUCAUACAUAUGCAUAUAGACUCACUUGAAUGAAUGUACGCACGCAUGCUCUAUCCCUAUGAGCACCUCUGAGAGACUGAACCAACACAUUAUUUUGAGAUUGACGAAGCCGCCACUGACGCCUCCGUAGUCGACGAAAAUGUCUCCUCCCACAGAACGAAUAUCCUCAGGAACCUUAAAAUAAAUCCAGAAAAAUGGAAGCAGCAGUGUCAAGUCUAUGAUUAAACCAUGAUGGACCGGUUCCAUCCAAAAAAAACUAACCAUGUUAGCUCGUCUCUGGGAAACCCAUAUUUUGCUAACCCUAAAGUGAGCAUGUACCUCACCCCAGCCUUGAACUCAAGAAAGAUGUAGGCCUUUCCACGCAGGUCCUCUGUUUCCAUCAGUCCACAAAGUACCGAGCAUCUGAUCGUGGUGACUUUCGCAAAGCCGGUAGGGUGGUGAUUUGUUU